GCCUGUGACUGGAGGAUGCCGGUGGAACCACAGGUUGAUCGGCUGGGGCUGCCGAUGGAAUUAUAUCGGCUGAAAGAAUAGCAGAAAUAAUUGUAAGACAGAAGAAAUAAGUUCAUCGGCAAUGAUUUCAUAGGAAGUGUGUUACCUUGGGGAGGUGCAGUACUUGUCUGAAUGGAAGAGACUACCGAUGAUAUGAUUGAGCCU
RNAcentral lists this long non-coding RNA (204 nucleotides) under Sorghum bicolor (sorghum). Its description in RNAcentral is "long non-coding RNA (SBIC_LNC008051)". Lineage: Eukaryota; Viridiplantae; Streptophyta; Magnoliopsida; Poales; Poaceae. The record is from RNAcentral.